Molecule: non-coding RNA, 29 nt
Filed under: Mus musculus (house mouse)
Lineage: Eukaryota; Metazoa; Chordata; Mammalia; Rodentia; Muridae
Source: RNAcentral
UAAAAAAAUGCUUAGCCAGGGUCACCUGU